This 497-nucleotide ribosomal RNA is filed under the name uncultured bacterium. Its description in RNAcentral is "partial 16S ribosomal RNA". It matches the Rfam family "Bacterial small subunit ribosomal RNA", at positions 28 to 507 of the family's 1533-position model. The record is from RNAcentral.
GACGAACGCUGGCGGCGUGCCUAAUACAUGCAAGUUGAGCGCUGAAGGUUGGUACUUGUACCAACUGGAUGAGCAGCGAACGGGUGAGUAACGCGUGGGGAAUCUGCCUUUGAGCGGGGGACAACAUUUGGAAACGAAUGCUAAUACCGCAUAAAAACUUUAAACACAAGUUUUAAGUUUGAAAGAUGCAAUUGCAUCACUCAAAGAUGAUCCCGCGUUGUAUUAGCUAGUCGGUGAGGUAAAGGCUCACCAAGGCGAUGAUACAUAGCCGACCUUAGAGGGUGAUCGGCCACAUUGGGACUGAGACACGGCCCAAACUCCUACGGGAGGCAGCAGUAGGGAAUCUUCGGCAAUGGACGAAAGUCUGACCGAGCAACGCAGCGUGAGUGAAGAAGGAUAUCGGAUCGUAAAACUCUGUUGGUAGAGAAGAACGUUGGUGAGAGUGGAAAGCUCAUCAAGUGACGGUAACUACACAGAAAGGGACGGCUAACUACGUG